CUGCUAGGUUUUAUACAGUAAUAAUAUAUAUCUGCCUCACUCUCAGAGAAAUCAGUAGUACUGCUAGGUUUUAUACAGUAAUAAUAUAUAUCUGCCUCACUCUCAGUGAAAUCAGUAGUACUGCUAGGUUUUACACAGUAAUAAUAUAUAUCUGCCUCACUCUCAGAGAAAUCAGUAGUACUGCUAGGUUUUACACAGUAAUAAUAUAUAUCUGCCUCACUCUCAGAGAAAUCAGUAGUUCUGCUAGGUUUUACACAGUAAUAAUAUAUAUCUGCCUCACUCUCAGAGAAAUCAGUAGUACUGCUAGGUUUUAUACAGUAAUAAUAUAUAUCUGCCUCACUCUCAGAGAAAUCAGUAGUACUGCUAGGUUUUACACAGUAAUAAUAUAUAUCUGCC
Molecule: long non-coding RNA, 396 nt
Organism: Oncorhynchus keta (chum salmon)
Lineage: Eukaryota; Metazoa; Chordata; Actinopteri; Salmoniformes; Salmonidae
Exons: 3
Source: RefSeq, a predicted model, not a curated record